AACGAACGCUGGCGGCAUGCCUAACACAUGCAAGUCGAACGAGACCUUCGGGUCUAGUGGCGCACGGGUGCGUAACGCGUGGGAACCUGCCCUUAGGUUCGGAAUAACUCCCCGAAAGGGGUGCUAAUACCGGAUAAUGUCUUCGGACCAAAGAUUUAUCGCCUUUGGAUGGGCCCGCGUUGGAUUAGCUAGUUGGUAGGGUAAAAGCCUACCAAGGCGACGAUCCAUAGCUGGUCUGAGAGGAUGAUAAGCCACACUGGGACUGAGACACGGCCCAGACUCCUACGGGAGGCAGCAGUGGGGAAUAUUGGACGAUGGGCGAAAGCCUGAUCCAGCAAUGCCGCGUGAGUGAUGAAGGCCUUAGGGUUGUAAAGCUCUUUUACCCGGGAUGAUAAUGACAGUACCGGGAGAAUAAGCUCCGGCUAACUCCGUG
Molecule: ribosomal RNA, 433 nt
Filed under: uncultured bacterium
Lineage: Bacteria
Description: partial 16S ribosomal RNA
Rfam family: Bacterial small subunit ribosomal RNA
Source: RNAcentral